CACGUAGUUAGCCGUGGCUUAUUCAGGAGGUACCGUCUUCUGCUCUUCCCUCUUAAAAGAAGUUUACAACCCGAAAGCCUUCUUCCUUCACGCGGCGUUGCUGGGUCAGGCUUGCGCCCAUUGCCCAAUAUUCCCCACUGCUGCCUCCCGUAGGAGUCUGGGCCGUAUCUCAGUCCCAAUGUGGCCGGUCAACCUCUCAGUCCGGCUACUGAUCGUCGCCUAGGUGGGCCGUUACCCCGCCUACCAGCUAAUUAGACGCGAGGCCAUCUUCCAGCGAUAAAUCUUUGGUGUCUCGAUGAUGCCAUCGAAACACAUCAUGCGGUAUUAGCAGUCGUUUCCAACUGUUGUCCCCCUCUGGAAGGCAGGUUCCUCACGCGUUACUCACCAGUCCGCCACUAAGCAUUCCCUUCCAUUGUCCGAAAACUCUUUCAGGGGUGCUCCGUUCGACUUGCAUGUGUUAAGCACGCCGCCAGCGUUCGUCCUUGAGCCAGGAUCAAACUCUA
This 503-nucleotide ribosomal RNA is filed under the name uncultured Oscillibacter sp. RNAcentral's name for it is "partial 16S ribosomal RNA". The record is from RNAcentral. Lineage: Bacteria; Bacillati; Bacillota; Clostridia; Eubacteriales; Oscillospiraceae.